RNAcentral lists this non-coding RNA (802 nucleotides) under Melaenis sp. YZ-2018. Lineage: Eukaryota; Metazoa; Annelida; Polychaeta; Phyllodocida; Polynoidae. The record is from RNAcentral.
UUAAGUUUGAUUCUAGCUUCUCAAUUAAUUAUUUUCUUGACUAACACAUGCAACGCACUGGACCCUGUGAGGAAAACAUAUAUUUUGAAAAAUUUCCCUUUAUAAUUAUAACUCUUACAUUAUAUUAACUUCACACGCCUGCAGUGAUUAAUCCUUAUUUAUUUAACGAAAGUUAGACUAGGCAAUCAAUAAAUUAAACUGACCUAAUCUGUGCCAGCAGUCGCGGUUACACAGAAAGUUUAUAUUAAUUCAUUCAGGUCCGUCAACAGAGAGAAAACAACAGGCCUUAGGGUUCAAUCUUGCUCUAUACAUUAACUUCUGCUCUCAUUCCUAAAGCGAAAGUAUAGACUAAAACAAGGAUUAGAUACCCUUCUAUUCUAAACCAUAAACAACUGACCUGGGCACUACGAAUACAUGUUUAAAACCCAAAGACCUUGGCGGUACUUUAACCUCCUAGGGGAGCUUGUAGGUUAAUUUGAUAAUCCCCAACCACCUCACUUAUAUUUGCUUUCAGCCUGUAUACUGCCGUCGUCAGUUUACCUUAUAAAAGUUAAGUAAACCUUAUAGCUUUAACGCUCCUACGUCAGGUCAUAGUGCAGCCUAUAUAUAAGCCUUUAUGAGCUACAACCCCCACGAUGCACGAAUUACUAUAUGAAAAUUAGUAUGAAGAUGGACUUAGCUGUAAGUUUUAUUAAUUUAAUAACCUGAACCAGGAAAUCUAAAGUGUGCACAAAUCGCCCGUCACUCCCCUCUAAAGAGGGGAUAAGUCGUAACAUAGUAGGAGUAAUGGAAAUUGUUCCUA